CUACGGGUUGCUCCAGUGGGGAAUAUUGGACAAUGGGGGAAACCCUGAUCCAGCAAUGCCGCGUGUGUGAAGAAGGCCUGCGGGUUGUAAAGCACUUUCGGUUGGGAGGACUGCUUCUAGCACUAAUAUUGUUGGAAGUUGACGUUACCUUCAGAAGAAGCACCGGCUACUCCGUGCCAGCAGCCGCGGUAAUACGGAGGGUGCAAGCGUUAAUCGGAAUUACUGGGCGUAAAGCGCGCGUAGGCGGCUAGACCAGUCGGGUGUGAAAGCCCCGGGCUUAACCUGGGAACUGCAUCCGAUACUGUAUAGCUUGAGUACAGGAGAGGAGAGUGGAAUUCCACAUGUAGCGGUGAAAUGCGUAGAUAUGUGGAGGAACACCAAUGGCGAAGGCAGCUCUCUGGCCUGAUACUGACGCUGAGGUGCGAAGGCGUGGGUAGCGAACGGGAUUAGAUACCCGCGUAGUC
RNAcentral lists this ribosomal RNA (464 nucleotides) under uncultured bacterium. Its description in RNAcentral is "partial 16S ribosomal RNA". It matches the Rfam family "Bacterial small subunit ribosomal RNA", at positions 339 to 795 of the family's 1533-position model. The record is from RNAcentral.